RNAcentral lists this unclassified non-coding RNA (344 nucleotides) under soil metagenome. RNAcentral's name for it is "partial contains 5.8S ribosomal RNA, internal transcribed spacer 2, and large subunit ribosomal RNA". The stretch from base 1 to 120 matches the Rfam family "5.8S ribosomal RNA", at positions 35 to 154 of the family's 154-position model. The record is from RNAcentral.
GAUGAAGAACGCAGCGAAAUGCGAUACGUAAUGUGAAUUGCAGAAUUCAGUGAAUCAUCGAGUCUUUGAACGCACAUUGCGCCCCCUGGUAUUCCGGGGGGCAUGCCUGUCCGAGCGUCAUUGCUGCCCUCAAGCACGGCUUGUGUGUUGGGCCUCCGUCCUCCUCCCGGGGGACGGGCCCGAAAGGCAGCGGCGGCACCGCGUCCGGUCCUCGAGCGUAUGGGGCUUCGUCACCCGCUCUUGUAGGCCGGCCGGCGCUUGCCGACACAUCAAUCUUUUUUCCAGGUUGACCUCGGAUCAGGUAGGGAUACCCGCUGAACUUAAGCAUAUCAAUAAGCGGAGGA